UAAUACGUAGGGGGCAAGCGUUGUCCGGAAUUAUUGGGCGUAAAGCGCGCGCAGGCGGUUAAUUAAGUUGGGUGUUUAAGCCCGGGGCUCAACCCCGGUUCGCAUCCAAAACUGGUUGACUUGAGUGUAGGAGAGGAAAGUGGAAUUCCACGUGUAGCGGUGAAAUGCGUAGAGAUGUGGAGGAACACCAGUGGCGAAGGCGACUUUCUGGCCUAUAACUGACGCUGAGGCGCGAAAGCGUGGGGAGCAAACAGGAUUAGAUACCCUGGUAGUCCACGCCGUAAACGAUGCAUACUAGGUGUUGGGGAUUCGAUUCCUCGGUGCCGAAGUUAACACAGUAAGUAUGCCGCCUGGGGAGUACGCUCGCAAGAGUG
This 374-nucleotide ribosomal RNA is filed under the name uncultured bacterium. RNAcentral's name for it is "bacterial SSU rRNA". It matches the Rfam family "Bacterial small subunit ribosomal RNA", at positions 521 to 896 of the family's 1533-position model. The record is from RNAcentral.